CUAAUAACUAAAUUAAAGUGUAUUUUGAGUUCAAUUGACUUUUUGUGAACGAAUUACGACGAUUCGUCUUUUCGGCCUGAUUUUUAGCUGCACAAAAAACUGUUUCCGAUCAGAUUUUUUUCGAUGUCAUAAUAAUCGUAUCGAAAUUCUGGUUCGUUUCAUAUAAUUGUUUUUAGAUAUCUUGAUUUCGGAGCACUCCCUCCAAUCCAUUCGGUUACUCAUAAUUGUACCGAAAAUCAAGUUAAACCCCUAAUCUUUUGAAUAUUUCAAUUACACUUCCAAAUAAAACUACACUUAAAACCAUAUGAAAUUAUCUUCAUUCCACCAUUGAAAAUUGACAAAAAAAAAAAAGAAAUUUCUUUUUUCGACCAAAGUCGGGAAAAAUGAAGAAAUUACGCUUACGUCCUAUUGUUCGAUUUGAUCGCUAGUACUUUUGUUUCAACAUUAAACAACCAAAAGGUUGUUCUAAUAACUAAAUUAAAGUGUAUUUUGAGUUCAAUUGACUUUUUGUGAACGAAUUACGACGAUUCGUCUUUUCUGCCUGAUUUUUAGCUGCACAAAAAACUGUUUCCGAUCAGAUUUUUUUCGAUGUCAUAAUAAUCGUAUCGAAAUUCUGGUUCGUUUCAUAUAAUUGUUUUUAGAUAUCUUGAUUUCGGAGCACUCCCUCCAAUCCAUUCGGUUACUCAUAAUUGUACCGAAAAUCAAGUUAAUCCCCUAAUCUUUUGAAUAUUUCAAUUACACUUCCAAAUAAAACUACACUUAAAACCAUAUGAAAUUAUCUUCAUUCCACCAUUGAAAAUUGACAAAAAAAAAAAGAAAUUUCUUUUUUCGACCAAAGUCGGGAAAAAUGAAGAAAUUACGCUUACGUCCUAUUGUUCGAUUUGAUCGCUAGUACUUUUGUUUCAACAUUAAACAACCAAAAGGUUGUUCUAAUAACUAAAUUAAAGUGUAUUUUGAGUUCAAUUGACUUUUUGUGAACGAAUUACGACGAUUCGUGUUUUCGGCCUGAUUUUUAGCUGCACAAAAAACUGUUUCCGAUCAGAUUUUUUUCGAUGUCAUAAUAAUCGUAUCGAAAUUCUGGUUCGUUUCAUAUAAUUGUUUUUAGAUAUCUUGAUUUCGGAGCACUCCCUCCAAUCCAUUCGGUUACUCAUAAUUGUACCGAAAAUCAAGUUAAACCCCUAAUCUUUUGAAUAUUUCAAUUACACUUCCAAAUAAAACUACACUUAAAAGCAUAUGAAAUUAUCUUCAUUCCACCAUUGAAAAUUGACAAAAAAAAAAAAGAAAUUUCUUUUUUCGACCAAAGUCGGGAAAAAUGAAGAAAUUACGCUUACGUCCUAUUGUUCGAUUUGAUCGCUAGUACUUUUGUUUCAACAUUAAACAACCAAAAGGUUGUUCUAAUAACUAAAUUAAAGUGUAUUUUGAGUUCAAUUGACUUUUUGUGAACGAAUUACGACGAUUCGUCUUUUCGGCCUGAUUUUUAGCUGCACAAAAAACUGUUUCCGAUCAGAUUUUUUUCGAUGUCAUAAUAAUCGUAUCGAAAUUCUGGUUCGUUUCAUAUAAUUGUUUUUAGAUAUCUUGAUUUCGGAGCACUCCCUCCAAUCCAUUCGGUUACUCAUAAUUGUACCGAAAAUCAAGUUAAUCCCCUAAUCUUUUGAAUAUUUCAAUUACACUUCCAAAUAAAACUACACUUAAAAGCAUAUGAAAUUAUCUUCAUUCCACCAUUGAAAAUUGACAAAAAAAAAAAGAAAUUUCUUUUUUCGACCAAAGUCGGGAAAAAUGAAGAAAUUACGCUUACGUCCUAUUGUUCGAUUUGAUCGCUAGUACUUUUGUUUCAACAUUAAAGAACCAAAAGGUUGUUCUAAUAACUAAAUUAAAGUGUAUUUUGAGUUCAAUUGACUUUUUGUGAACGAAUUACGACGAUUCGUGUUUUCGGCCUGAUUUUUAGCUGCACAAAAAACUGUUUCCGAUCAGAUUUUUUUCGAUGUCAUAAUAAUCGUAUCGAAAUUCUGGUUCGUUUCAUAUAAUUGUUUUUAGAUAUCUUGAUUUCGGAGCACUCCCUCCAAUCCAUUCGGUUACUCAUAAUUGUACCGAAAAUCAAGUUAAACCCCUAAUCUUUUGAAUAUUUCAAUUACACUUCCAAAUAAAACUACACUUAAAAGCAUAUGAAAUUAUCUUCAUUCCACCAUUGAAAAUUGACAAAAAAAAAAGAAAUUUCUUUUUUCGACCAAAGUCGGGAAAAAUGAAGAAAUUACGCUUACGUCCUAUUGUUCGAUUUGAUCGCUAGUACUUUUGUUUCAACAUUAAACAACCAAAAGGUUGUUCUAAUAACUAAAUUAAAGUGUAUUUUGUGUUCAAUUGACUUUUUGUGAACGAAUUACGACGAUUCGACUUUUCUGCCUGAUUUUUAGCUGCACAAAAAACUGUUUCCGAUCAGAUUUUUUUCGAUGUCAUAAUAAUCGUAUCGAAAUUCUGGUUCGUUUCAUAUAAUUGUUUUUAGAUAUCUUGAUUUCGGAGCACUCCCUCCAAUCCAUUCGGUUACUCAUAAUUGUACCGAAAAUCAAGUUAAUCCCCUAAUCUUUUGAAUAUUUCAAUUACACUUCCAAACAAAACUACACUUAAAAACCAUAUGAAAUUAUCUUCAUUCCACCAUUGAAAAUUGACAAAAAAAAAAAAGAAAUUUCUUUUUUCGACCAAAGUCGGGAAAAAUGAAGAAAUUACGCUUACGUCCUAUUGUUCGAUUUGAUCGCUAGUACUUUUGUUUUAACAUUAAACAACCAAAAGGUUGUUCUAAUAACUAAAUUAAAGUGUAUUUUGAGUUCAAUUGACUUUUUGUGAACGAAUUACGACGAUUCGUGUUUUCGGCCUGAUUUUUAGCUGCACAAAAAACUGUUUCCGAUCAGAUUUUUUUCGAUGUCAUAAUAAUCGUAUCGAAAUUCUGGUUCGUUUCAUAUAAUUGUUUUUAGAUAUCUUGAUUUCGGAGCACUCCCUCCAAUCCAUUCGGUUACUCAUAAUUGUACCGAAAAUCAAGUUAAACCCCUAAUCUUUUGAAUAUUUCAAUUACACUUCCAAAUAAAACUACACUUAAAACCAUAUGAAAUUAUCUUCAUUCCACCAUUGAAAAUUGACAAAAAAAAAAAGAAAUUUCUUUUUUCGACCAAAGUCGGGAAAAAUGAAGAAAUUACGCUUACGUCCUAUUGUUCGAUUUGAUCGCUAGUACUUUUGUUUCAACAUUAAAGAACCAAAAGGUUGUUCUAAUAACUAAAUUAAAGUGUAUUUUUAGUUCAAUUGACUUUUUGUGAACGAAUUACGACGAUUCGUGUUUUCGGCCUGAUUUUUAGCUGCACAAAAAACUGUUUCCGAUCAGAUUUUUUUCGAUGUCAUAAUAAUCGUAUCGAAAUUCUGGUUCGUUUCAUAUAAUUGUUUUUCGAUAUCUUGAUUUCGGAGCACUCCCUCCAAUCCAUUCGGUUACUCAUAAUUGUACCGAAAAUCAAGUUAAACCCCUAAUCUUUUGAAUAUUUCAAUUACACUUCCAAAUAAAACUACACUUAAAAGCAUAUGAAAUUAUCUUCAUUCCACCAUUGAAAAUUGACAAAAAGAAAAGAAAUUUCUUUUUUCGACCAAAGUCGGGAAAAAUGAAGAAAUUACGCUUACGUCCUAUUGUUCGAUUUGAUAGCUAGUACUUUUGUUUCAACAUUAAAGAACCAAAAGGUUGUUCUAAUAACUAAAUUAAAGUGUAUUUUGAGUUCAAUUGACUUUUUGUGAACGAAUUACGACGAUUCGUCUUUUCGGCCUGAUUUUUAGCUGCACAAAAAACUAUUUCCGAUCAGAUUUUUUUCGAUGUCAUAAUAAUCGUAUCGAAAUUCUGGUUCGUUUCAUAUAAUUGUUUUUAGAUAUCUUGAUUUCGGAGCACUCCCUCCAAUCCAUUCGGUUACUCAUAAUUGUACCGAAAAUCAAGUUAAUCCCCUAAUCUUUUGAAUAUUUCAAUUACACUUCCAAAUAAAACUACACUUAAAAGCAUAUGAAAUUAUCUUCAUUCCACCAUUGAAAAUUGACAAAAAAAAAAAAAAAGAAA
Diospyros lotus (date-plum) is the source of this 4072-nucleotide long non-coding RNA. RefSeq lists it as uncharacterized. The record is from RefSeq and is a predicted model, not a curated record. The transcript has 6 exons. NCBI's taxonomy places the organism in Eukaryota, Viridiplantae, Streptophyta, Magnoliopsida, Ericales, Ebenaceae.